Molecule: small RNA, 208 nt
Filed under: Rhodococcus sp. (in: high G+C Gram-positive bacteria)
Lineage: Bacteria; Bacillati; Actinomycetota; Actinomycetes; Mycobacteriales; Nocardiaceae
Description: Rhodococcus sp. c-di-AMP sequence
Rfam family: c-di-AMP riboswitch aptamer (ydaO/yuaA leader)
About the family: This family represents a conserved RNA structure found upstream of the ydaO and yuaA genes in Bacillus subtilis and related genes in other bacteria.
Source: RNAcentral
GGAACACCCUCGACGAUCACCCAGGGGACGAGGACGGGGGACCCACGUCCUCCACGGACAACCGGGAAGUUGUAGCGGCUCACGAAGCCGCCCCGACUUCCCUUGGGGUUAAGCCCAAUUGCUCAUUCCGAGGAGUGAGCGAAAAGGCCGGGCUACCUCUCAGCCCGAACCCGACAGCUGACCUCGCAGGCGCGUGUGGAGAGGAUUU